UAGGCCUAUAGCUCAAUGGUGGAGCAUCGCUUUGAUAAAGCGAAGGUUAUUGGUUCAAGUCCAAUUAGUCCUAA
Molecule: transfer RNA, 74 nt
Filed under: Candidatus Vidania fulgoroideorum
Lineage: Bacteria; Pseudomonadati; Pseudomonadota; Betaproteobacteria
Description: tRNA-Ile
Rfam family: tRNA
About the family: Transfer RNA (tRNA) molecules are approximately 80 nucleotides in length. Their secondary structure includes four short double-helical elements and three loops (D, anti-codon, and T loops).
Source: RNAcentral